UACGGAGGGGGCUAGCGUUGUUCGGAAUUACUGGGCGUAAAGCGCACGUAGGCGGUCUUUUAAGUCAGAGGUGAAAGCCCGGGGCUCAACUCCGGAAUUGCCUUUGAAACUGGAAGACUUGAACACGGGAGAGGUGAGUGGAGUUCCGAGUGUAGAGGUGAAAUUCGUAGAUAUUCGGAGGAACACCAGUGGCGAAGGCGGCUCACUGGACCGUUGUUGACGCUGAGGUGCGAAAGCGUGGGGAGCAAACAGG
Molecule: ribosomal RNA, 253 nt
Filed under: uncultured bacterium
Lineage: Bacteria
Description: partial 16S ribosomal RNA
Rfam family: Bacterial small subunit ribosomal RNA
Source: RNAcentral